Brachypodium distachyon (stiff brome) is the source of this 866-nucleotide long non-coding RNA. RefSeq lists it as uncharacterized. The transcript is spliced from 2 exons. The record is from RefSeq and is a predicted model, not a curated record. NCBI's taxonomy places the organism in Eukaryota, Viridiplantae, Streptophyta, Magnoliopsida, Poales, Poaceae.
CCUGCAGCGGCGUGUGUGUGUACGUUGCUGAAAAAGAUAAGAUCACGCUGCGGAUGAGGAUCGAAGCAUAGUCGAUAUGUUCCGAUUUUCUCUCCUCUCCUCGUGAUUCAUGAGCAGGCACGCCCGGGGGAGCCGGAAUAAAGGCUGAUAUGGACUUGAUGCUGGAGGGAUUCAUCUCGUGAUUCGUAGUGCAGGCAGCGGCUACAGGUUGGCGAAAUUGCGAAAUCUGCUGAUUCUAUCAGGCAGGCAGGCGAACCUCGUGCUUAGAUGAACGUCACCGGCUUCAAACCAGGAUUAGUUGUUGGAACGGAAUUAACAAUCAGCGGACGAAUAAAGUGGGGCCGCAUACUGCCGCUGGCGCGAGCCCGCUAUAGCCAACGGAUAGCCAACCCAUGACCAAACUCGUGAUCCAAGUUUGAUUUGAUUCACUCAGCAAGCACGUGCGUAUUUAUGAUCUGCCACGAUCUCUUUCCUCCUCUGCCUUUCUUCGCCGUUGUAUGGCCGCUGGAUCGGUCAUCGGAGGGUGGAGAUAGUUGAUACUAGCAGACAGGGUUUCCGAACGUCACAGGAUCGGAGGCCGGACACACAAGUUUAUCUUCCGUUUCAUCCCCCACCGCCUCGUUGAGUCGUGAUCAUGUGUCCCUCCAUUCUUGCCACACUCGGUGCAAGCAAAUACAUCUGUCAUGGGACAAGAAGAACAGUUAUACUUUGGCAUCAUCAACAACAACAAAAUGUUCUGCACUGGACCAGGUUAAGGGAAAUUCUACCCGAACAAAAAAACGUUGAAAAUGUGUACUCGACCAGCCCCCAAAAGAUCUUCGCCAUGUAUUACCACCUUCUUGCGUUAAUACAUAAUUUUUUGAGCA